Molecule: ribosomal RNA, 441 nt
Filed under: uncultured bacterium
Lineage: Bacteria
Description: partial 16S ribosomal RNA
Rfam family: Bacterial small subunit ribosomal RNA
Source: RNAcentral
CUACGGGGGGCUCCAGUGGGGAAUAUUGGGCAAUGGGCGCAAGCCUGACCCAGCAACGCCGCGUGAGGGAAGAAGGUUUUCGGAUUGUAAACCUCUGUCCUUGGGGACGAAGAAGUGACGGUACCCAAGGAGGAAGCUCCGGCUAACUACGUGCCAGCAGCCGCGGUAAGACGUAGGGAGCAAGCGUUGUCCGGAAUUACUGGGCGGAAAGGGUGCGUAGGCGGCAUAUUAAGUCAGGUGUGAAAUACUCGGGCUCAACCCGGGGGCUGCAUUUGAAACUGAUAUGCUUGAGUGUGAGAGAGGAAAGUGGAAUUCCUAGUGUAGCGGUGGAAUGCGUAGAUAUUAGGAGGAACACCAGUGGCGAAGGCGACUUUCUGGCUCAUAACUGACGCUGAGGCACGAAAGCGUGGGGAGCAAACAGGAUUAGAUACCCCAGUAGUC